AAAUUUUGAUGUAAAUUUUUAAUAUUUAAUAUUUAAUUUGAAUUUAAAUUAAUAUAUUAUAAAGAUAAUGUUAGUAUAUUAAUUUGAUUAUAUUUUUUAUAUCCACCUGAACCAAACACCGACAAUGGGAAUGAUUUAUUCCGAUUCCGAUUUUGGUGAUCAACCAAACAGAAUUAAGUAAUGAGUCAUUCCGAUUCCGAUUCCAGCUUAUUUUGAUUCCGAUUCCGAUUCCGACUCCAACUUCGAACCAAACAAGCUCUUAAUCUCUUCAUUUUAUGAGAUUUCUUGUGCAAACAAAAAUAGCGGUGCUUGUUGGAUGACGUGGUGGACCUGGUCCACACAUUUAUUUCUCGCCUAAAAGACCAUAGCUUUUUUAAAUGGGAAAACUACGAAUACCACCCCUGUCAUUUCAUAUUUUUUUCACUUUAGUAUUCUAUGAUUUAAAAUGUAUCAAUUUAAUACUUUGUAGUUUCGCACUUUCUUACUUUAGUAUCCUGUGAUUUAAUGUGCAUCAAUUUAGUACUCUGUGAUUUCUGUUUUCUCUUUUCGUCGGCUCCUCUGUUAAUAUUUCGUUAAAUUAUAUACAAAAAACUUCAGUUACCCUAUCUAGGUUUAUCGAAUAUUUACUUUAGAACGCUUUAGUUUUAACUUUGUCACUAUUUUUUUUUCUUUCGUUAAUAUUUCGUUAAAUUAUAUACAAAAAGCUUCAGAUAUCCUAUCUAGGUUUAUCGAAUAUUCAUUUUAGUAGUCUUUAAUUUUUAACUUUGUCACUGAUUUAACGAAAAAAAAUUAGUGAAAUGGAUAAUAAAAAGAGAAAAAUAAAACCACAGUGUAAUAACUUGAUACACUUUAAACCACAGGAUAAUAGAGUGAGAAAGUACGAAAUCAUAGGGGCUAACUUGAUACAUUUUAAAUCAUAGAAUAUUAAAGUGAGAAAGUGUGUAACCACGGGGGUAUUUGAAGUUUGUCCUUUUUAAAUUAACUAAUUAAUUUUGAAUAACUAACUAAUUUAUUUAUUUUUUCCCUUCUCUUGCAUUAUCUUUGCGCCAAGAUUCGUGCAAACUAUAAAAUUAAAAUUGAAAAACUAUUUCUCACCCCCGCGACUUCGAAAAUCGCACGUCUCCUCCAUCCUUUUUUCUCCUUCCCACGCUUUUAGGGAGAAAAAGAAAAAAAAGAAAAAAAAAGAAAAGAAAAAUUAGGGUUUCUCUCCUCUCCCUUUUCCUUCUCCCAUCCGACGAAUCUCCCGGGAAAGGUAGGUAAUUGUCUCCGAUUCGGAUUCGCCUCGAUCUGAUGCGAUUCGUUCUUCUUGUUUUAAGAUUCGAUUUGAUUUUGUUGAUGCGGGGCGCUUUUGGAUCUGAUUUUGAGGAGCCGGAUCGCGUGAUCUAUCCCACAUUGUUCGUUGCAUCGAUGCCCUGUGUUAGGAUCAGUGAUUUGUGUCGUAUUAAGGUUGAAUUUGAAGGGUUUGGUGAAAGAUCUGAUGAGAUCUGCGCUGUUUAGGGGGUUUUCGAGCUAUAACUAUUAAUGUUUGGUUUAAUAUUUCGUAAUUUAUUUUAGUUGUCUUUAAUGUGUUUUUUGAUUGCUGAGCAUUGAUGAUGAUGCUUUGUACACUGCGAAUUAUAUGGAGUAGAUGCAGUAAUCUUUAAUGGCAAUGCACUAGAAUAGCAAAAGGAGAAUCUUUUUUAUUAAUUAGAAAAGUGGUUUUUUAUCCGAUCUGUGCUCCCGCUCCUUUUGUUUCUCUGGAGCUUUGCACUGAUCCAAAUUUGGUCCAGUGUAGAAAUGUGAUGGCUAAAAGCACCUACUUUGAUACUUUAGAGGGACUGAAGAAUCCCGAAGCACUUUCGACAUUCCCUUUUUUGAUGCUAUAAAAUGAUGGCGCGAACCGCCAGCUAGAGAUGUCAACGGGUCGGAUUCGGGGCGGGUUUUUAAAAACCCGAACCCGAACCCGACUCCAAACCCGAGACCCGAACCCGAAUCCGAACCCGACGGAUUUUAAAAAUCCAUACCCAAACCCGAACCCGACCAAAAAUCCGAAACCCGAACCCGAACCCGAACCCGAAAAUUUGAACCCGAAACAAUUAUUUCUUUUUUCAAUAUUUCAAAAUAUAUUAUAUUAAAUUUAAAUUUUUAAAAUACAAAUUUAAAUAUAACAUCAAAUUUAUAUAUAUAUAUUAUAUAUAAUACAAAAUAAAUUCGGGUUCGGGUCGGGUUCGGGUUCGGGUCGGAUACAAUCAAAAUCCAUAUCCGAAUCCAUAUCCGUCGGGUUUCUAUUUUUGAUAUCCAUAUCCGAAUCCAUAUCCAUAUCCAUCAGAUAUAUCCGUUUCAUUCGGGUUCGGGUUCGGAUAAAAUUUCGGGUAUCCAUACCCAUUGACAUCCCUACCGCCAGCGGAGAAGCAUCAGCUGCUUAUAUGGAGUAGAUGCAGUAAUCUUUAAUGGCAAAUGUACUAGAAUAGCAAAAGGAGAACCUUUUUUAUUGAUUAGAAAAGCCGUCUUUUCCGAUCUGUGCUCCCCCUCCAUUUGUUUCUCUGGAGCUUUGCACUGAUCCAAAUUUGGUCCGGUGUAGAAAUGAGGUGGUCAAAAGCACCUACUUUGAUACUUAGAGGGACUGAAUUUCAACAUUUCCUUUUUUGAUGCUAUAGAAUGAUGGUGCGAACCACCAGCAGAGAAGCAUUAGCUGCUUUCAAUUUUCUGGGCCCUUUAAGUAUCAAAGUAUGUAUGUUCGGCUUACCGCAUUUACCAUACCAGGCCUUAUUUUUAUUUUGGCCUUCAUUGGAUAUGUAGCGACAAUCCCAAACAAAAGUUUUGCUUCUAUUCUUCUUUUUUGUAAUUUUUACAUGAGAAGGAUAGCAGCCUCUAUUGAUAAUUGGCUUCAAGCCUUACCGACUAGCCAAAUGGGAUAAGCACCGGCUACCACUUUGGAGUUCGGAGUAACCUAAGUCUACCCUGCGGCAAAUGCAUAUUGAUCUUUCUUGAAGGAAAUCACAUUGAUUUGUGAAAAAGACCUGUUGCUAUUUCAAAACCACACAUCGUUUUGCAACUAAACUUGUCUUGAUGUUGGUUCAUUGAUAAACAUUGGACAUGGAUAUCUCUGUGUGGGCCAUAAUAAGCUAUUAUAUCAGCCUAAAGUAUCUUGUGGCCACAAGUGUGAGAUCGACAAGUCCUUUGAGAAAUAUGCUUAGAUGGAUAUCUAAAGAUUUAGGUUCCCUCUGUUUUGUGCAUUGAAUGAUUGACUCUGUUUAACAAUCUUUUGUAAUGGUAAUUGUGGCGAACAUGAUAUGAGCAUCCAAAACUCAUUCAAGCCGAUUUGGGUAUUUAGGAAUCACUGCAAUUUUUUUUAGCCAACUAUUUUAUCUUGUAUAUAGUCAUAUGCAUCCUUUUGUAUUGGCUUACUCUAUUUCAUGCAUGGAGAUACCAUUGUACUGUCUUCGUAGUAUGUUCUUUAGCUAUUCGCUCUCUAAUAUCAAUUUGAUUUUAUCUGAUUUUGAGAAGUAGAUCUAAUUAGGAAAGCUCCAAAUGUGAAAAACUGUUGGUUGAUACUUUCCUUGAAAUUUACAGGCUCUUUCAAUCUGUCAAGUUGAGCCGCAUGAAGUUUCUCCCUGAAGUUUUGUAGGUUACAUUGAUAAACAAGGAACUUACUGCUUGAAAUGUUUACUGCGACAAACUGUUAUACAGUCCAAAAGAUGCUUUUAUGAAGAGCAUAGGUUAAUCUAUUUACAGCAGUUUCUAAUCAUUUUUGAUCGAUGGGCGAGUGGGUCAUUGGAGCUUUGAUUAACAUAGUUGGGAGUAUCGCCAUAAACUUUGGGACUAACCUUCUAAAACUGGGCCAUGAUCAGGUACAUACUAUAUGGCUUUCUUUCUCUUUUCAUUUUAUGAGGUUUCAUGCUUUUCCUAUGUAUUUUACCUAGCAGAAAGUGCAAAGUGCAAAGUGCAAAGUGCAUACUAUUUUCUCUCUUGAUCUCCCUCACUCUCUUAUUUCCUUUUCUCCAAGUAGGUGUGACUCAAACACCAAUUUUAUUUUAUGCUGAAUAAAUGUAAAUUUCUUUUCAAUGAAAAAACUCUCUAAAACCAUUUUUAAGAGUUUUACAUGGAACCAAACACUACCUUUUCCAUCGAAUUAUUGAUUGCAUUUGUAAAGUGGGUGAAAAUUAAAAAAUGCAAAAUGUCAUUUAUAUGUUGAGUGGGUGAAAUUAAAACACGAGCAGGUUCAAAGAGGAUUUGACAUCUUAAUACAUCUUAUUGAGUUUGCAUAGGCUGGAAAAGUCCUACUUUAAGGUCUUGUAUUUGACAUUCUAUUGAAGUAUAAAAGGUUUAACUAAGCUAUAAAAUAAACCUGUUUGACCACAUUUCAAGUUUAUUGAAGGCGUUCCUAUGUGGACAAAUUCGAUCAUUACUGUAAGUUGUUCAAAGUUCAAAAUAGAUCAUUUUGCUUGUUAAGUUCCUAUUGGUUGGAAAGCCAACGUAGUCGCUUGCUAAUGUAUUUCUACUUACAUGGCUCAUCGGGUUCCAUGUUAAAUUCAUUUUAUGAAUUAAGCAAUAUAAAAGGUGAAUUUAAAUCAUAUUUAGUAUGUGUGUUUGAACAGAACUUUCAACUCAGUAAGCAAGAGAUGAUGUCAUCUCCUUUUUAUUAUUUUCAAUUCUAAACAUGAAGACGAUACUACCAGCCCUUUCUGCAUCCUCCAUCUUUUUUGUCCCAUUGAGGUUGAAGCCAUGUCAAACAUGCCUACGGAAUGUGCCCCCUUGAUCAUAGUUAUAUAAGUGUGAACAUGCAUGUUUUAUAUGUAUAUGUUGGUUUUAUAAACUUCCAUCUUGUCAUUGUUUUGAUUUGUUUGGAUCUUUUCUUCUUUUUUUUUUUUUGCCAGCGAGAGAGGCUUGCUGUGGUUGGUGGUGAAGGCAAUGGCAAAAUUAUUUUGAAACCAAUCAUGUAUUUCCAAACCUGGAGAGUGGGUAUAUUUCUUGUUAUCUAUUUUGGUUGUACAUAACCAUCUGAAUAAACUUGAAUUUUAAAUUUUAAAUUCUGAAACUUAAUGCAGGUAUCCUUUUUUUCGCUCUGGGAAACUGCCUCAACUUCAUUUCCUUUGCAUAUGCGGCACAGGUUGCCUAACAUAUUUCAGCCUCUUAUCUUAGUAUUGAAAGGAGAUGUGUAAAACUGGAAGUACAUUACUUUGUUUUUUUAACUAUUAUACAGCAAUCUAUUUAAAAUUGAAAUACAUUGCUUUGUUUUUUUAACUAUUAUACAGCAAUCUAUUUUUCCAUUUCAUUAAAUGGUCACAAAGUACAUUGCUUGUUUUUUUAACUAUUAGACAUCAAUCUGUUUUUCCAUGUCAUUCAGUGUUGUGACUAGAACCCGACUAGUAACUGCUGAAGCUACUAAACAGAAAUUAAGUUGCACAUAAUGAUAGCAGAGUCUGUGAUAUGCAGAGGUUCCGGUGUUCUAAAUUGCUUGGUGGCAGAGUUUGGGUUAUAGAGAGGUUUUGGUGCUCUAAGUUGCAUUAAUAUUGCAUUAAGUGUGCUGUUACCCUUAAGUACAUUUUAGUUGUCGCCUUAAAUACUUAGAACAUCUAAUAUAAUGUCUAAUAAAUUUUGGCAUCUAUUUAGCUAUAUCCCCUUGGAAGUAUAGUUUGAACUUUUGAAGGUUCAAACUCUUCCCUUCUUUUUUGAGGUCUAAAUAUCAGGUAAAUUGAGAUUCAAGCAAAUUCUACCCUGCUGGUCAUCGAACAAAUUUGUUCCUUCUAAUCAUCUAUUAAUAUCUUUCCAGCAUACCCAUCUAGAAUGUUGGUUGUUCUCUAAAAAUAGCUGUUCUGUUUGUUUUUUUUGCAGUCGCUUCUUGCAGCUCUGGGAUCAAUCCAGUUUGUUUCUAAUAUUGCAUUUGCUUACUUUGUACUAAGCAAAACGGUAUCAGUGAAGUAUGGUACUUCUUCACCAUUAUUGUUAUAAAUCUUCAUCGGGAACCUCUACAUUUAACAUUCUAUUAACGAAAAGUAUCACUGUUUUUGUAGGGUUAUGGUAGCCACAUGUUUUAUUGUUUUCGGCAACAUCUUCUUAGUUUGUUUUGGCAAUCACCAGUCACCCGGUAUUGACAUCGACCUUAUAUUUUCAUUCCGAUGCUUGUGAUAGCUAUAUUACUAGAUGGAGUCAAAGCAGAAAAUAACCUGCUAUUUUCUUAUAUAUUAUUGCCAAAAUUGUAUGGACAACCCUCUAACUUUAUAUUGCUUCCCAACACGUCCGAACUUUGGUUUGUUUUAUUUGAACUGGCACAGCUAAUAUGUUGUUUCUUUUGAGAAAAUUCCAUCGCGCUACGAGCACAUACCUGUUUCGCUCAGAAAAGUUGACAGCUCAUCAAGUAACAAAAUAUAACAGGGAUUGUUAAAUUCUGACAGAAUUUUUUAAGAUAAGAAAAUGCAGUAUUCAAGAAUCACUUUGAAUGGUACUGUGAGGAGUGUUUAUUUGUUUUGUAUAUAUUGUUUUGUUUAUUUUGACUGUUGUCGUACUGUUAACGUAAAGUAUUUACUGCUCUCUUCCACCCUAGAAUGAAAUUUAUAGACCAGAACUGAAAAAUUUGCGGAAUAGAGUAACUGACUUUCUGCAGUACCUUUUUAUCAGUUUACACACCUGAGCAGUUGAUCGCCAAGUACAGCAAUUUGAUCUUUCUUCUUUACUGUGUCUCGUUGGUGUUGGUAGUUGCUCUUAAUCACUAUAUCUAUAGGUAUGGAAAUUUCUUACUAAUCUUUGUUCUGUUAACUAGCCAUAACAACAGCUUAUUGUUAUGUUUUACCCUGGUUGGCUGUUUUAUGGCCCCACCUUUAAGAAUUUCUAUUUCUUUUGUUUAUAUUGUACAUACCAACUGUGAUGCUCUUCUUGAUAACCGCAUAUGAAAUUGACAGGAGAGGAGAAGAUAUUCUCUCAGCUUCUGUGCCUGAUUUUAGUGCCUAUUGGCGCACGUUGCUGCCCUUUUCCUAUGCUGUUGUUUCUGGUGCUGUUGGAUCUUGCUCGGUGUUGUUUGCAAAAUCAUUGUAAGUUAAUCGGUUCACUUUAUUUUGAUCGGCUACGAUGUAUCACUCUUUAAAUGAACUUUCUUUUUUGAGUGAAAUAAAAAGUUUUUCUAAUACAAAAUCAAUUACUCCCCAUAUUUGGAUUACUCGAAAACUUAAGGGUGUCUAUAUAAGAAACUACACUUUCAAGGGUAUAUAAAAAAUUGAGACUUUACAUUGUUACAUAGGUAAAUAGAAGACUUUGCAGGGAUAUAUACGUGAAACCCUCUAUAUCUAUUUCGGACAUGCAUUUACUAUGUUUUGCUUAACCUUCCAGGUCUAACAUGCUGAGACUAACAAUUGGCAGCAAUUAUCAGCUUCAUAGCUGGUUCACAUACUCGAUGCUUUUAUUAUUUUUGAGCACAGCAGGAUUUUGGGUAAUGGUGUGAUCAGCUUCAUGGAUAGUUGUUCAAUACUUUCUUACAUGCUACAUGUCUAAUUUAGUGUUUCUUACAUAUCAGAUGGCAAGAUUGAAUGAAGGGUUGUCUUUAUUUGAUGCAAUCCUAAUAGUACCAAUGUUUCAAAUUGCAUGGACCUUCUUCUCCAUUUGUACAGGAUUUGUAUAUUUUCAGGAAUAUCAAGUAAGUGUUUAUUUGAGAAAUUAUCUCUUGCACACAACGCACCACAUCGGGUGCAGCAUCCAUUGUCCCGUGAUCCGCUCUCCAUCCUAUUUCAUACAUUCUAUCUAACCAUUCCAGAAGAAGAUCAAUUAUUGAUCAAGAAAAGUCUGCAAUGCACUGGUAGGGGAUCAAAGUAUGAGAUUGGAUGGAGGGUGGUGCAUGGCAGACGUGGUGCAGAGGUUGCAGGAAAUACUUUCUUAUGUUUGUUAAUUUCUGGUGAAUAUAUGCUUCUCACAAUGUACUCUCUGUUGAGUUGAAAACAUUAAUUGAUUGGCAGGUAUUUAAUACACUUAGAAUAAUGAUGUUCGUUCUUGGAAUGGCAUUUGUUUUCAUUGGAAUUUCCUUGUUAGCUCCUGAUGAUAGUAGAGGUAUUCGAAGAAAAUUUUUGACUUUUGGUGAGAUUUGAGUUUUAGAAAAGAUAAUUGAGCUAAUAUUUGAAUGUUUCUCAGCAAAUGAUACAAAGGAUUCUUCCUCCACAAGUCAAGGCUUUGCAACUGAUGUGAACAGGUGCUUUGUACAUCUCUCUGGUUAUUCUUUAUUGCUAAACAUGGCAUCUCUCUUGUCAUUCUUUAUAGCUAGACAUGGCUGCGGUAUAUAUUUGCUGAAAGACUAAAUGAUAUACACAUACACAUGAUGAUUGACCUCAAAUGUUUGAAUGGAAAUGUAAGGAAAUGUCUUAAAUAAUUGGGUUUGAGUUGAAACAAGGAGAAUUCAAACAUUAUGGGGCUAUAGUUCUAAGCAUUGAAAAUGCGAUCUUUACGUUUGUGUAAAACUGGAUGAUUCAUGGAAGAAACAUCUGACAUAUCCCAUACUUCUUGCUCCUGCCAGCCGGCUGGUGAAACUUGACUAACGACUGGAGAUUUCAUGUUUUUACCGAAGUUUUCUAAUUUUAUAUGUAUUACAAGCUUUAAUCCCUAAUAAAUGGGAAAAAUAUGUGACAACUUAAAUAAAGUUGAUAAAUUUAGAAAAUUCUGGAGAUUCAGGAUAUCUGAUCCAAAGGGGAUAAGAGAAGAUUUUUACUUAAUAGAUAUACAUAUAUUUCACACAAUAUCCUUAAGUUACAAUACAUAAUACAGGGGAUAAGUAAAUAUCUCAAAGAAUUACAUGUUGGAUAAUUGUCAAAAAGUCAAAUCACCAAGUUUUAGCAUUUAGUAAUUAUAUUACCGUUAGAUUAUUCUGUUUGUUGUUUGUAUGCAAAUUUUGGUACUUCUAUGCUUCUCCUUAAUGAGAAAAAUGUCUGGUUAACAUGCCACCAACUCACAUGUGUCUUGAGUGUUGUGGAUUUCUUAAUAAUAACAGGCCUCUCUUACUUUAUUAUAUCUUUUUUUUUUUUAAAACUACACAGUAAUUAAUUGUAUAAUUAUAUAUCACAGGCUAACCAAGCUGCCAACAGAGGAGACUGAAGUAACUGAUAUGAAAUCCUUUAUGCAUGUAGUACUUGCAAAGUCUAAAUCACUAUUGUUGAAGGCGAAGGUACUUGGCCAGGAUGACAUGUUCUUUCUGUUUUUGUUGUUUUUAUGUUAUUUUCUUUUCAACAACUUGGUUUCCCUGCAGGCUACCUGCUCAAUGUCCAUUGGACUUGGAGAGGAGUCAAUUAGUGCUUCGUCGGUACUUGUUAUGCCUAUGGUUUCUUCGAGGACAACAGGCUUUAGAGGAACCAUUUUCGAUAGGGCUAAGUUCAUUCCUUUAAGAAGCUCUGGUUGGAGCAGUUCUUCAAUCAAUGAUGAGUAUGACGAUGAUGCUGACGCGGAAGUGAAUGAUACACGUUCUUUGCUUUGAUAGAGCUCCAAUGAUAGAAUAAAUUUAUUGUUUUUCAGCAAGAUUAUUCUUUAGUAUAAUCUCCUUGUACCAUGAGUGUAUAGAUUUAUACUUCAUAUUCACCUUGUCAUUUUAAGAUUCAAGAUGUAAGUUUCAAAGCUUUGUUGUAUAUAAAAUCAUUCGCUUCUGAAUACUUAUUUACUUACAUGACCUCCGUGUUCAGCUGUUUAUUACGCUUCCUGAUAUAUUAUGAAUGAAUAUUCCUGAGAAAUCAGAAGUAGUUUUUGCAGUGACAAUUCUUAGAUUGGUCAGAUCUGUGCUGAGCUACACCUGUACUUUUGGUGUGCUCCCCCGAAUAUGUAAGAGAUAAGAGUAUCAGCAUUGUUUUUUGAAUGCUUUGUCAUUGUAAAUUUUCGGAAGAAAAGAUUUUCUUCGAAGUGUCUAAAAUAUAUGGAACUUGGGGUUAGGUAUAUGUCUCCUUUGUAAGAUUCUGUUAUUAUUUUUAUGAAUUUUUUAGUGGCCACCUUUUAACUAAUUGCUAAAGAAUAACUUUUCUACUUUAUGCUCGAAAUUUAAAGAAUGAGGGCAGCUGGAGUAACUUUAUGCUUGUUCUUUUUACUGUCAUAUUCAAUAAUUAUUCUUCUUAUCUUGUUUGAUGCUUUCCAUCAGAACCUUUAAAGAGCAGCCUCUGUAGAAAGUAAAGAUGGCGAGACCGAGAGAAAACUUGUUUAGUAUAGCAGGAGAUACUUCAUGGGUGCUCUUGAUCUAACUUUGCAGGUUGUCAACUUGCCUCUAAAUGCAACCAAAGAAGAUCUUCUUGCCUUCUUUUCCUACUGUGGCACUGUUGUUAAAAUCCAGCUGCAGAGGUAACUGAUCUACUAAUUGUGUUUCCCUUUGCUUGCACUUUAUUAUAUUGUUUUGUCCAUAUUAUGUUGUCGAAUUGGUACUGUUACAUUUUAGGGAUGGAGAUCAGUCCCAGAAGGCUUUUGUGACCUUUCGGCAACCCUACGCCCUUCAGAUUGCUCUCCUCUUAAAUGUAAGAAACAAUUAAAGCUUACAGAUGAGAUAACAUAAUCUAUUUUUAUUUACUUUAAAAGCUCUUGUUAUGAUGAUGAAUGUAUUGAUGUAGGCCCUGGAUCGUAGAGCUGAUAAUUUGUGAAACACCGAUCUUGAGAACAGAUUUUGGAGUAGGUGAUCUUUGUUAUUAUGUGUGAGGAAUAAUCUACCUACUUUAUUUGCAGAGUGCCACUAUUGGAGAUCGUCGAGUUCGCAUAUUGCCCUUGGAGAAUAUGAGGGAUAUACCAAUAACAUCAUCUGAUUCGGAGAACAUGGACAGCCAGGCAUGUUUUCGAUUCUCUAUUGUAGACUUAAUAGGAUAUAUAAGGCGCGCUGAUGAAAUGCGUGUUACAAUUUGGUCAGCGGCAUAUCUACGUCAAUAGUGAUAUCAGUGCCCAUAGUGAUAUCAAUACCCAAGUAUUGUAAGCAUGUUUUUCUCCGUCUUCUAGCUGAUUUUUCUUUCCAGGUGUUAUCAUCGGUCUAGCAGCGGAGCAGAACACUGAAUGAUAAUGGCUAGGGAUUGCAAGAUAUUUGCAGUUUUAUGUUAAAAAAAUAUGCUGGAUCCCUUUAACAUUAGCACGCGAUUACAUAUUACUACUCGAACCUCAAAAAGUUAGACUUUGUAAUUGCUCUAAUCAACAACCAAGGUCUGAAUUUUGUUAAUUUUUCUUAUGAAUCUUAAAAAUUAUCCGACUAUUUUAAAAGGAGACAGAUAUUUGAGUCCUUUAGCUUUCAUGUGAUUGAAGAUUAAUAAGAAAAGUAACAGAAUUCAGGUGGAUAAUUGAAACAAUUAGAAAACUUGUACAGUCUAUUUUAUUUCUACCAUAUUUUUCCUUAACUUUGUAAUGCUUUGAUUUUUUAAAAAAAUAGAUAAGUAGAAGCUAAAGCACAUCCUGAACAGUUCCACAGCAAAAAAUACUGGACACUGCAGUCACACUUGUAUUAGUAAUUUGAGCUAUGGAAUUUUGCGUUGCAUGGUUAAAAACCCAUUUUGUCGAGUUACUAAAUAUAGUCCUCACUUGGUUCAAGUUAUUGCCCUACAGGAACCGAGAGGAUAUCAUUCUCCUGCUUCGCCAUUGACGGCGGCAGUGCAUGCAAAACCACCGAUAGUAGAAGAUAUACCAAACAAAGCAAAGGAGAGAGUAUCAGCAGUUGAGCGAAAGGUGCACGACUUAAGUUCCGCGAUAGUCAGCAGCGACUGCUUAUUGCAAGGCGCAGUUUGGCUCUCCGAGGUCUUGGAAAGGGCAUCAAAGAGUGUGGCUGAACUGCGCAAUGUAAGAGGUUUGGAUAUCAACUCCAGAAUGCGGAAUUAGGCGCAAAUAUGGUAUGCUUAAUCACCUACUCCAAUUUCGCUUUGAUAGAAUGAGUAUAAUAUCGACAUGGUAUCAUGUAGACGUUUGUUAGUCGAGUCGACUGGAUAAAUAUAUCAUGCCGGUUACGACGCAGUGUUUGGUUUGAGAAUUUCUAUCAUUUUUACUAGCAGGUUCGGAGAACUAAAAUAGAAACUACCAGAGGAUUAAGUAUUAUCCUUUGAAUGACGGCAUAGGAAAUUUCAAGUGUGCAAAACCAUACUGUUUUCUUUUAAAAUUUUCUAACAAAGGAACUCAUUGUUUUCUUGUAUAUAUAUCAGGGACUAGAGCAAGAAUACUCUUUUACUUCUGCAUCAUUCGAUAUUAUUUACCUAGCGAUCAAGUGGUCUCAAAUACACUUUAUAUUUGCCCAUUGAAAAUUGUUAAUUUUGAGACUAGUUGAAUACUAGAGUGAGUGAUGUCGAAAGAUCACAAUAUUUGGAAUUUGCAUAGUUCAAGCAUCAUAGAUCAUGCUUAACCAUGUUGAUUGUCGAUUUAGAUGUCACAUCAUCGAAUAUAAUACGAAAUAUCUUAUCUCAACUCAUAUAUUAAAUUAGAAGCUUUUUUAUUAUUUUUCUCAUACAUAUAAUUCUACUGAUAUUUUACCCUGAACCAGGAACUUACAUUAUAUUACAAAACCCAAAUGAAUUGAUACCAAAACCAAAACUUGCUGCAAACAAACCCAUCAUCAUGCUAAGAACACAUGACAAGAAAAGAAACCCAUAACAGGUAAACUUAAAGAACAAUAUCAAAUAAAAGAUCAAGCACAAUGGUAGCUAUCCAAAUUUGCAGUAAAAAAAACUCAGUUGAAAUGCCAUUACAUCUUAAGCACAUGCUAGCAAAGACUCUUGUGUUUUAAAGAGGACUUAUUAUUAUUAAUCAGCUUACAAGAAUAUCCCACUUUCUUAAUAAGGUCAAUUUUCCGAGUAAAAUUAAGUUCCGCGUUUCGGUAUUGUUGCUGUUUUCGUGUAAACACAUUCUGUGGGACGGAGUGCGCUCGAAGACGGUGGAGUUCCUGCAGUCAAUACUUCUACGAGGUUCUUUCGGGACAGUCUGUUGGUUAAAAAGGGCAACAAUACCAAACGAGGCCUAAAAAGGAUGUAAAGAAUGAUCAGAGAAUUCCACUACAUGGAGGGUAUUUGAACAUGAGACUGAAGCAUUUUACCGCCCCUUUCGACGAUCUCACCAUUCACUCUCUCCCUCAUUGCUUUCACCAUCUCCGCGACAUUCGACUCUUCUUCGCAAGCUUCGUCUUCCUCGGGCACCAAACAUUGUGCAAUAGCAUCUUUUGAAUCAGAUAACAUACGUUUCCAUAGCCCCUUCAUGUAGUUUUCGUCGUCCUGAACCGCUCUGUCACCGUAGUUCGAUUCUCUUCCUUCCUCCUCAAGUGAAUUUAACCUUGUUUCGGUUUCGUUAUCUCGUUCGAUGUGAAGUUUGAUCGAAUGCAAACCGCUACUUUGCGAUUCUCCGUCUUCGUCGUCUGCUUCGGGUUCUUCCGUUCUUUUAGCAGUUAAAAAGGCUUCGAGCUCGUUGCGCAGUCGAUCGACGACCGCGCUUUUCUCCUCGAAUUCCAACUUUGCUUCGUAGAUCUUCAUUUGGACUCUUUCCUCGCGCCACUCGUCGGCGAUCUGAAGCAUCUCUCUCUCAUCUUCCAGCUCCUCUUGGACCUUCACGAACUGCCUUUUCAGCUCCUCGACCGCCGCCUUCCGCUCUGCGUAUUCUCUCGACAGAUCGCUGCACAUCUUUUCUGCUACUUCUCUCGAUCUUCUCUCGUUUUCGAGCUCUUGACUCGUCUUCGUCAGCGAAUCCUUCAAUUUCGUGAACUCGAGUCCUAGUUCUUUGUUUAUCCUCUCGGUUCUUUUCCGUAGUAUCUUUUCCGAUUGGAGUUCCUUGAUAAUGGGCUGAAUGAGGCACCUAAUGCUCCUCUUCUCUUCGAGAUUCUUCCGACAGAUGGUUUCGCAGCAGUCAGAUCUCUUUUCUGCCAUUAAACAUACCAGAUGCUCGGAGGCAUGAUAAAUCUCUGCAUGAAGUGCGAAAACAAGCGAAAUUGCCGAGAAAUGCCGAUCGCAGGGCCCCAGUACAUGGAUUAUUGCUUUCAGAAGCUCUCUUGAUGCUGUCAAGCAGUUACUCAAAUCCUUCAAGCGACAAUCGCCGCUUCCUCCGACGAAGUUUUCAGAAGUCAGCCGUCGACAGCACGCAUUUUUCUGCAACAUAUCAUUUGCAAUGUGAUGAAUACAUGAUCAGCUUUGUGGCGUCACACGAAAAUUCGGUUAUAUUUUGCUGAAGAAGCUGAGGUUCUGUUUCAUUAGAACAAAAAUUACAGGUUAUGAUAACAAGUACGAGAAGUCGUCGAAAAACCAGAAAGGAAGAAGAACUCCUGAUCUUAUCCUGAAAGAUUUAGGCGAAUCGCAAAUUAGUAAAGCAUAAGUACUACUCCUGCACUUUUAAUUUGUUCUUAGAGUACUACUGCCUCCAAUAAGGUUUGUAAAAUUGGUAAAUUUUAUGCCUUGUCAAAUUAUUCAUGUACUACUACCACUACUUAAUGCAAUCCCUACUUAGGACCAGCAGCUGUGUCCUUGUUGAUCAUCAAACCCGGCCGCGCCCCCCCGCCCUCCCCCCCCUCUGCACCACUAUAACAGAAUUAGAUUAUAGAAAUACAUAUUUGAAACACUUUUGUGUAAGUGUCCCAUUUAUACUAAAACUUUUUUAUAAAAAUUUACUAAGGCCUAAAUAUAAAACUCAAUCCAAUCAAAAAUAAAAAGUUUCUCUACCCAACCAACCCCACCGAGCCUACUUGGCCCGAUUAUAAAUAGAAAAGGAAAAAAAAAAAAUUGGUCACCAUCUCCCCUUCUCCUUCUCUACUGCCGUAGUCGACGAUGUAGGGUUCCGGCGGCUGGAAUUCGACCGCAAGGAUCUCGUAGAGACCGUAGAGGGCUACGAUUGCCACGUGUCUCUCCGCCAUAGGUCACUAGAGGAGUGAGUGCCAAACAUUAAGGCGGUCCUACAUAUAGCGAUCCCAUAUAUAGCAAUACUUUUGAAAAGUGUCGGUAAUUUAGCUAACAGUAUAUUUUUUGACCUGUAUCGAUAUUUAAAAGUGUCGCCAUACACUUUUUUUUGUAGUGCCCCAAUCCUUUUUCCGAGAGGACUACAGAAAAUAUAUUAUAAUAUGCAGAACGUGAUAUACGUACAGAAAACAUUCAGCAAUUUCCUUUCAAUCCUACUCUUUUCUUAGAAAGAAAGAAAGAAAAAAUACUAUUCUUUGAAUGUCAUGGAGAUCAAGAAUUACAUUCACAAGCUGCUUAUGAUUUUAGAACAGUUAUGAAACUUCCAAUGGUGGAUAAAACAAAUUUAAUUAACUAUGUAAGUUUUAAAUUUUAUUGUGUCAAAUUUAUUAAAGUAAGCAAUUAGCUUAAAUUUUGCAUCCGAAGAGUCAUGAAAUCGCUUCAGUCAAACAUAUUAAAAGAUUAGUUCUUACAAUCAAAAUUUUGAAAAAGGUUGAGCAGUCGAGUCAAAACGGAUUAGUAGUUCAGAUAAGUUUUAGUCAUUUUUAUCUAAGUUUUAUUGUAUUAAAUAUUCAGAAUAAAAUAAAAUACCUUCUGUUGGUGUAAAUACUCAUAAAUAGAAGUCAAACUAUAAAAUAAUAUAAAAAGUGUCGACGAGUCGAUUAAGCCGAGACACGAAAAUUUCGCUCUUUUUAAAAAGAUUCAAACUCUCUGCGGUUGGUAAAGUCUUCAACUUUUGCCGUGUGGCUUUACCAACUUUAUACAAGUGGAUGAGUCCAAAGCUCUACCAAAAAAAUACCUUUCUUUGGCCUCUCUUUCUCUCACACAAGUAGAAGAGAAAUAGAUUUUUUAUUGUUGCGUUUUUAUUGUAUUUUCAAAUGAAUGGAAAAACCAUUCUAUAUAUAGACCUACAAGUUUAUGGGUUACAAGAGUAUUAAACCCAUAGGUUAUAUAACAUUUAGUAUAACAAAAAUUGGCACAUGUUGUGAGUUAUAGGAUUAAAGAGAAUGGUAUGAGUACUAAAUGAACACGUUAGAUCUCAUAAUUGUAAAUACGAAUGAAUGCAAAGUUAAGCGAAUGCAUAAGUUAUCAAUCUUGCAACCAUAAAUGUUAGAGUAUAGAUUAUCAAAAUUAAAAAUUCAUAUUUAAUAAUAAAAAUGUUACAACACCUUCAUUAAACCGGAAUUGGUUUGCAAAUGCGGUGGUGCUACGUCCUUCCGCCGAGCACGCCGAGACUUGUCGUCGUAGAUUUGGCAUUUCAUUCUCCUGCUGCUGCUACGUCGCGGUAUCUGCACAACAAAGUCAAAUAGUUUAUCCACGAAAAUCAAAUCGAAAUGCAAAAUUCGAUCGACCGUAGUAGGAUCUAUCGACGGAUCAGUAACUAACUUUCGAUCCAGAAGUGUGAGGCGGGUCUGUCGUGGAAUGCCGACGAGAGCUCAUCAUUCUCUCCUUCUUCAGUAUUUUCUCACGCAGAGCCGCGAGAGUCGUCGGCGACGGGAUCUUAUUCAUGCCCCAGAGAGCAUUCGCGAGCUUUCGAGCCGAAACUGAAGUUUGCGUCCCGCGAAUGCAGCUGUGAGAUGUCUGGCACUCAGAAGAUUCAUUAGCAGGUGAGAUCAGGGAUGGCAGGUGAUGAUCUGCUUCUUCACUCAUUGUGAAUGAGCAAUUCUCUUUCAGUAAUGAUUUGUAUAAGAAAAUAAUAAUAAAAAAGGAAGAGACUUAAGAUAAACAAAUGGACUAAGAAACUUUUUAGGCAGUAGAUGGAAUGGUAAGUAGAGAGUAUUAUAAUCUGAAGCACAUGUGGUGGAUGAACAAUGAACAUGCACUUUUUUUUUUUAAUGUUUCCUAGUAAUAUAAUGAGAUUAAUGAAAACAAAAAACUUUACCAAAUUAUUGCUGAAAAAAAAAAUGCAGAUCAAAUGUUCAAGAACCCUAAUAUUAGAUUCUGAAAAACCACAAGCACAAAUUUUGGAAUAAUAAAAAACAGAAAAAGAAAACAACUAAUAAGUUUAAAAGGAAACAUGUGCUUUAAAGAUGCCAACAUUGAACAUUCCUAAUUCUCUCUCUCUCUCUCUCUCAAAAGUUUUCCUUUUUGUUGCCUCUCAUUGGAAACCAAGAGGCUCCUAAAUACUCAGGAGCAUUUGUAUGCAUAUCCCUACAAAUUCUUAAAAUUACAUAUUCUAAUAAAGACACGCUUCUCCAUUUUUUGAUAGAACUGUAGAAAAUAUAUCGUAAUGGAUUCAUUACGAUGUACGUAGCAUAGUAUUAGGUAUGAAAAAAAGAGAGUAAUUUUUUUUUUUUUCAUCGAGCUUUCUCAUCACACAUAGCGUAAUUAUCUUUCUGCAAUCCAAUAAAAUUUGUUUAAGAAACUCUAGCCAAAGAAGGAUAAUAUAUACAAUGCCAAUGUAGAGGUAUGGUAAAGUGAUUGGUUCAUAACUUUUUUUUUGAUGAGAUAGUGUAUAUUAUUUAGAUUCUACUGUCAUUGAAGUGAGUGUAGCAUUAUUAGCAAAAUAUUAUUGAAGGUUAACUUGAAGCUCAGAUAGAUAAUGUGUAAGCUAAAUUAUAAAUAAAGUUGAAAGAAAAUAUUCAAAUGUGUUUGGGUAAAAAAACAAUCAUUUGAAAAGAGAAUGCUAAAGUUCGGAUGGUUUCUAGUUGAUGUUGUAAACUGAAGUAGACAACAAAAAAAAUCAUAAAUUAAAUGUUAAAAUACAAAAAACCCUCAUUAAAUAUCAUUUUGCCACCACAAAAUUUCAAAAAUAUUUUUAGGGGUUACGUCGUUAAUGUAAAGGGUGAAAGGAUUAAAUUGCUCUUACUUGCUCUAUUAAAAAAAUUUGUAAUAUAUUUAUGUCAUUUUCAAGUGUAUUGUUGCUAUAAAUUUUAAGAAAUAGAUGAAAAAGUAAUAAAACCCUAACAAAGGAGGGCUAAAUGCGUGUAGGGAUGCAAACGAGCUGAACACGAGCGAGUGCAGCCUUGCUCGUAUUAGAUUCGAGCCGAAUUCGGGCCGGCUCGAAUUAAUUUCGAGCCAGAAUAAGACUGGUUCGAGUUCGGCUCAAAAUCGAAAUUGAGCCGAAUUCGAGCGGCUCAAAAUAAUUUAUUUUAUUUUUUUGUUUUUCGAGCUAAUUUCAAGGCAUGUUCAAAUUUGGCUUGGAAUUGUUUGAUUCCGAGCCGGCUCAUUUAUAGCUUGAAAUUCUAUUUUUUUUAUUUAUUUUUUUUUCAAUUCUAAAAUGUUUAUGAAUAUUUGCUAAUAUUACACUAUAUAAAUUUAACUACAAUUACCAGUAUAAUUACAAUCGAAAUAAAAUAUCAAUCUCUAAAAUUACAAUUAAUCAACAUACAAAUAAAAUUACAAUCAACAUAUCUAUAAUCAACAUACGUGCUCAAAUUAACAUUCCCAAUAUAUUUUUUCUAUAAUCAUUUAUCUAGAAUGAAAAUUUAUUUUUUAUUUUUAAUAUAUAUAUAUAUAUAUAUAUAUAUAUAUAUAUAUAUAGAGUUGAGCUAUGAUACUUUUACAAGUAUCACCAUCAUAGUGCUAUUAGGUUUUAAGCCUUUGAAUCUACUUUUUGAUUAUUAAUAGCCCUUGGAUUAAACACUAUUCCACCUACCACCACCUACCACCAUCAUCUCAACCUCACAUCUCUCCAUCCAAGGGCUAAAAACACACAAGUAUCACCCCCAUGAUACUUUUACAAUUAUUCUAGCCCUACUCUCUCUCUCUCUCUCUCUCUCUCUCUCUAUCAGUAUAUUAUAUAUAUAUAUAUAUAUAGAACUAGGCUGGAAUACUAUUAAUAGCACCAAGAGAUUUGUGCUAUUAGUUUUUUAGCAAUUGGAUUAAAAAAUGUGCGGUUAGGAUGAUAUGAGACCCCUAGGGUUGGGUGGGUAGUUGAUUAAAUAGUAUAAUCUAACGGGUAAAAAUAAUUAAAGGAUUAAAUCUAACGGUGGAAAACUCGAUAGCACAAAAUCCUUAGUGUUAUCGAUAGUAUCCCAGCCGGGCUAUAUAUAUAUAUAUAUAUAUAGAGAGAGAGAGAGAGAGAGAGAGAGAGAGAGAGAGAGUUUUGCUAGAAUACUAUCGGUAGUAAACGGCUCGGUUUACUACUAAUUUGUUUUCGAUGAUAGAGCUUCCAAAUUGAUGAUCGGCACCGUUAAAUAUGAUCUAAACUAUUUAAACUAUCUGAAAAUCAAAUUUCACAUAUUUUCGAUAUUGUUCUCUUGUCCAUUAAGUGAACAGAAAAAUGAAUGGCUUGAAAUGAAUAUCCCUCAAAAAGUGAUGAUACAAUUUUUAUAUUUGAGAUCUAGAGUCUAGAUCUUAUUUUAAAUAGUUUAAAGAAUUUUUUAACAAAAAUUUAGUUGAUUUGAACUCUUCUAUACCAUUAAAUGAGCAAACGCACCAUAUCGGCCAUUAAAAUUAUAGAUUUUGUGACCCUUUGAUCGUUCAGUUAAUGAUGCCAAAAAAUUAUGAAAUUUGAUUUCUAGAUAAUUUAAAUGGUCUAGAUCAUGUUCAACGGUGCCGAUCGUCGAUUUGAAAGCUCUAUCAUCAAAAAUAAAUCGGUAGUAAACUGAGCAGUUUACUACCGAUAGUAGCCCAGUCAAACUCUAUAUAUAUAUAUAUAUAUAUAUAUAUAGUUUUAAGAUGCUGUUACAGUAUAUCAACUAAAACAAUACAAGUAAAGAAUAAUUACAAGAAUAAUUACAGCAUAUCUAAAAUUAUCAUUUUCUGACAUAAAAAAUAAAGUUACAAGGUCUAUUUCAAAAUACCCUAUAAUUUAAGGGGAUCUUCAUUCUCCAUACAUUUCCACCAAACUAAUUUAAUUAGCACAUUAAAAGUAUUAAAAAGGGAAAUAAUAACUUACAUUAUACCCCACCAAAUAAUCACAUGGAUGUGUCAUUGACAUUUAUAGGACACUUAACACAGUUACUACAUAAAUAAAAGAGAAAAGUAGAUUUUAUAUAUAUCAGUGGCAUAAUGGCAUAUUAUUUCCUAAUAUAUUUCCUAAUAUUUUGGCCCCCACUCAAAUGAUUUUGGAAUAGCUCACCACAUGCAUACGGAAUAAUUGGGACAUUUUCAAACCUACCCCUUAAAUAUUACAAAAUAUUAUAGGCAUCCCUAAAAAAUUACCAAUAUCAAUUUACUCGCUAUAAAUUGAUGAAUUAUGUGGGACUCAUGCAGUUAUCUAUAGCUUUGUUGUACUGUAUGGGACUAAAGUUAUUUCUCAUCCAAAAUUAGCACUAUAUAUUUACCUUUUCAGCUAUAAAUAUGAUUUAAUUUAAGCAAAAAUAUAUAAUUUUUUUUUGUAAAUAUUUGUUUUUCACUUGCUCUCCCAACUUUAAAAAAUCUAUAUUUUAUCCCUUCAAAUUUAAGUUCACGCAUUUAGGGCUGCAAGUCUAGCUACUCGCAAGUUAGCUCGUGUUCGAUUCGAAAUAAACUUGAAAAUGGUUCGUUCGAAAUUAAUUUCAAAUAUAAAACGAGCUGGAUUUUUUUCUCGAAAAAAAUUUUAAACCAAGCACGAGCAGGCCUCUGCUCAUUCCUGUUCGACUCGAAAUAGUUCGAAUAUAUAUAUAUAUAGAACUAGGCUGGAAUACUAUUAAUAGCACCAAUGACUUGGUGCUAUUAAGUUUUCUGUCCUUGGAUUAAAAGAUGUGCGGUUAGGAUGAUAUGGGCCUCUUAGGGUUGAGUGGGUGGUUGGUUGAAUAGUAUAAUCGAAUGGAUGAAAAUGAUAAAAGAGGUAAAUCUAACAAGUUUUCUGCCGUUAGGAUGAUAUGGACUAUAUAUAUAUAUAUAUAUAUAUAUAUAUAGAGAGAGAGAGAGAGAGAGAGAGAGAGAGAGAGAGAGAACUAGGCUGGAAUACUAUCAAUAGCACUAAGCUAUUGGUGCUAUUAGUUUUUUAGCCCUUGGAUUGAGAAAUGUGCGGUUAGGAUGAUGUGGGCCUUUUAGGGUUGAGUGAGUGGUUGGUUGAAUAGUAUAAUCUAACGGGUAUUUAAGUUGCUAAUAUACCAAUCGGGUCUAUUCGAAAGGGUCUGGUUAGUGACAAUCCAUAUGCUAUCCGCGCAAAACUGAAUAUGUGUCGGGUACGAGUCGGGUCUAGAUUGGAUACGAGUACCUGUAUAUACAUAUUUUUUAUAGACUAUUAAACACUCUAUGGACAAAUCAUAAAUCUCUCAAUUUAGAAAACUUUCAUUCUAAUGAGCUGCACUCUAUCAGAGGGAUCAGAGAGGCAAAGAGAGUAGUUAAGAUUUGAUUUUUUUUUCUCUUUUUUUUUUUUUUUAACUCUUACUUCUUAACUUCAGCAAUAAACAGGGACCCUGCUUAGAGAAGAAGAUUCAAGUAGUAAAUAGAGCGGCUAGGAUUAAAAAAAAGGAGUAACAUAGCGACUAGGUUUGAUGACAAUACAUAGAGACCCAUCAUCUAUAAGUCAUAUUGAAAUUGAUUCCUCAACUUAAAAUCUUUUUUAUUUGGGUAUUUCAUCCCAUCCGGAUCAAGAUCCAAGUCUGAAUCCGUAUUUGAAAUUAUUCUAGACCCUAUCCAUUAAAAUGUCGGGUUCGGGUCGGAUCCAAGUCCAGUAUAGAUACAAAGUAUCCGAAUCUACAUCCAAAACUUUAAUGUCUUUUUUCUUUUUUAUCCGAAUACUAUCUAUUUUUUAUUUGAUCUGGAUAGGGUCCGGAUUAAAUAUAGUAUAUCGGCAUUUUGGACGGUUUAGUUUGUUGAGAUAACUUCACUACAUUUUUACCAAACUCACUAAUUUGGACACAUCACCCCUUCAUUAUUGGUGUUAUUAGGGUCUCCUUGAAGGCUUGAACAUGUUCUAUCAAAAAAAAAAAAUGCAAAAGGGAUGUAAUAAAAAAUGAAAUCACAGAGUACUAACUUGAUACACUUUAAACUAUAAGGUACUAAAGUGAAAAAGUGCGAAACCACAAGGUACUAACUUGAUACACUUUAAACCACAUGGUACUAAAGUGAAAAAAUGCGAAACCACAGGAUUUUUUUUGAAGUUUUCCCUAAAUUUAAUUCUACAAACGGUUAUGAUCAAUUUAUUAAAAUAUUUCAAAUAAAAAAGAAUGAUUAUGAUCAAUCUAAGAAAUAACAUUUUUUUUCAUCUAUUUUAUAUUAAAAUUUAAAUUUGAGUUUAAAUCGUAAAUUAAAUUUAAUUUUUGAUAUCAAAUUUGACUUACAGUUAAAAAAUUUUAAUCAUAUAAUGGAUCAAAAUUAAAUUUUAAAUUUUGAAAUAAAUAUCAAUUAAAUUUUAAAUUCAUCAAAAAUUAAAAAAUAUUUAAAAAUAUUUAAUGUAUAAAAAAAGAAUAAUAUAAAAUAUUGCAAAUAUUUUCUAAUAAAAUAUAACAUAUAACUUUAUAAAUUAUAAUUUUUAUUAUAAAUUUUUAAAUAAAUAUACUGUACAAAUUUAUAUUGAUUUAAANUAUAACAUAUAACUUUAUAAAUUAUAAUUUUUAUUAUAAAUUUUUAAAUAAAUAUACUGUACAAAUUUAUAUUGAUUUAAACUAAAUUAAAAUAAUUGUUACAUGCAUUUGUAUAUACACUCAAUUAGUGUGUGUGUAGACCUAGUCUAAAAUACUAUCAAUAGUACCAAGCUAUCGGAGCCAUUAGGUUUUCGGCUCUUGAAUGAAAAAAUCUACAGUUAGGCUGAUGUGGGCUCCCUAGGGUCGAGUGAGUUAUUAGUUUAAUAAUAUAAUCUAACGGAUGAAAGUAGUUAAAAAGUUAAAUCUAACAGCAGAAAACUUGAUAGCACCAAAUACUUGGUGCUAUGGAUAGUAUUCCAGCCGGACUAUAUAUAUAUAUAUAUAUAUAUAUAUAUAUAACGUGAUUGAAUUGUUUAAUCCGAUCUGCUUAUUUUGGUAUUUUGUGUUUAUAAUUGAUCAGAAUAUAUAGAAUUAGGCUACUAUACUAUCUAUAGUACCGGAGCUCCGGUACUAUAGUCUUGUUUUCGAUCUUAGCGUGUUCAAAUUAACGAUCCACACCGUUAAAUAUGAUCUAGGGUAUAUGAAGUUCUUAGGAAUAAAAUUUUAGUUUUUUUCGACAUCGUUUACUUAGUAAAUAAAUUAUGUCAAAAUGGACGGUGGAAAUUGAAUAUUCUUUAAAAUUUGAGCAUAGAACUUUUAAAUUCAAGAUCAAGAAUGUUAACCUUAAUCUAGAUAGUUUAAAAUAUCUUAGCGCUAACUGAUAGUCGUCGGAUACGCGACACCGAAGUUCACCCGACUGUGCUCGACUGCAUUAGCAAAUAGGUAUAGAAAAGAGAUCAAUCCAAAUUGUUAGAUCUCUACUUUACAAAAACUUUUCUUUGGAACCCUAGAUAAUUAAAUCUUGCGAGAACGGCGAUGAAAUCCCCGAUUCAAAGCAUAAACACUUAUCUAAGUGUCCAAGGGUCCCUACUAAAAACCAAUUCUAGAGUAAAAAGCUAACGCUAGAAUUUCUACCAAUCAAAGGCUCAACAGAGCUUACCUCAGGCCAGUUCUAGGGAAGAAGAUGUCGAAGACGAAAAUCCCUUCCAUUACUUUCGACUCACACCAAUCUCCCCUCUAGCUCCGAACCUCUUAAGAAAGAGCUUCUAAUUAGAUCUUAACUCCUUUGACACUUUUACCCGACAUUAUAACUAUUAAACAAUAACUCAUCAACCCUAGUGGGCCCACAUCAACAUAUACGCACAUAUUUUUUCAUCAAAGCCGAAAACUCUAAUAGCACUAAUAAUUGAUGCUAUUGAUUAGUAUCUAGCCUAGUUCUAUAAAUAGAAGAGAGUUGGAUCUAGAAUACUAUAAAGCAAACGGGACUCCCAUGCCAGCCAUAAAUUAUUUUGCGAAUGAAGAGCCUCCAAAUCGACGAUCGGUCUUGUGACCAUAUGCUUAACGCACUUGAAGUGUUUAAAAAAUCUCAAAUUUCAAAUCUUUCGACAUCAUUUGCUAAUGAUCAAAGGUUCAAUUUGUAAUUUGAAUGGUCGAUAUGAUGGCGUUUUCCUCAUUAACGACGUGAAAGAUAUCGCAAAUCAAAUUGAAUUUUUGUAGAAAAUUCUUAUAAACUAUUAAAAAAGAAUUAUACUUUUGAUCUUGAUUACCAAGACCUUCUUCAUUUUUUUAAAAUAUUCAUUUUCAGGCCAGUUCAUUUUUGUGUCCACUCGAUGAAUAGAAGAACAAUAUCGAAAAAUUGUAUGAAAUUUUGAUUUUCUAAACCUUAAGUGGUAAUACAUGCAUACUUCAGCGGUGCUUGAUCAUCGAUUUGGAGGCUUCAUCACGAAAACAAAUGGGUGGCAAUGGGCUCGUUUGGCUAUCGACUAGCAUCUACUCAAUCUCAAUCUCUGCUCUCUCUCUCUUAUAUAUAUAUAUAAAUAAUAUAUAUAUGAUAUAUAUAUAUUAUAUAUAUAUCUAGUAAACUAUAUGCUAGUCGGAAGCAUAAGAGGAUGGUGCUGUCCGAUUUUUUGGCUCUUAGAUCAAUCCUCUUAAUGCAAUUUCAAAAUAUUGUGGAUAUAAUUUCAAAACUAUUAAAUCUGUGGGGAACACUCAACGAUGGGGGACCACAAUCAUCAAUCCCCCGUAUAAUUUUUAUCCAAUGGUACAAAAAGUUGAAGCUCAGAAUCCCUUGCUUAUAAUGCGUAUAAAGUUCUUACACUAAGUAUAUUAAUAUAUAUAAGUAGAGAGAGGAGAGAGAGGAGAGAGAGAGAGAGAAGAGAGAGAGCUAUCUCUCAACUAUCCUAGUAACCGAGCUCCGUACUAUAGAUCCCCGUUUUCAUCUUAGGGUUCAAAUCAACGAUCCACAAUAUAUAAAACUGAUCUUAAAGGUAUUUAAAAUUUUUACCCAGAAUAAAAUUUUAUAUUUUUUUGACAAUAGUUUACUUUAUAUCAACCAUUUCAAAAUUGUCAAAUUUCAAUGGCUACUAUGGCGAGUUUAAGAGUUUAGGCGUGUAGAAGAAUCUAAAUUCUUCAAGAUUUUGAUAAGAAAAUACUUAAUUUUAAGUUUGAAUUUGAAUAAAUUAAAAUUUAGUUUCAUAUUUUGAAUUAUCUACUCAACUUCAAAGUUUAUUUUUUUAAAAAAAAAAUAGAUUUAAAAUUUUGACAUUAUUUCAAAAUUUUGAUGUAAAUUUUUAAUAUUUAAUUUUUAAUUUGAAUUUAAAUUAAUAUAUUAUAAAGAUAAUGUUAGUAUAUUAAUUUGAUUACGUUUUUUAUAUCCACCUGAACCAAAUACCGACAAUGGGAAUGAUUUAUUCCGAUUCCGAUUCAAGUGAUGAAUCAAACAGAAUUAGGUCAUGAGUCAUUUCGAUUCUAAUUCCAGCUUAUUUUGAUUCCGAUUCCGAUUCCGACUUCGACUUCAAACCAAACACGCCCAUAG
This 25127-nucleotide long non-coding RNA is filed under the name Ananas comosus (pineapple). RNAcentral describes it as "long non-coding RNA (ACOM_LNC026371)". The record is from RNAcentral. Lineage: Eukaryota; Viridiplantae; Streptophyta; Magnoliopsida; Poales; Bromeliaceae.